UGGGGCUACAGCAAAAGGAUGCCACAUUGAUUCAUUUAACCACAGAAUCCUCCUGCUGAUAACUGCAUAGAUCAUCCAUAUAUGUGCAAGAGCUUUCAGAUACACCGACUGUAUUUUAGUCUGACAUACCAACAUGGUAUAGCAGCCUUUUCAACACUGUGAGUCCUGUUUCAUUGCCCAGGCAGCAACAAACACGUGAAUCUACAGAUGUGCUGAGGUCCUCCACAGUGGUACAGCCUACAGCAGGAGGAUGUUUACCAUAUGCAUGUUGAGAUAUCAGGUGUGAAUAGUUUAGCUGGACCUACUAAAGAGGACACUUCAGCAAUUUACAGCACCAUUCAGAGCCUUCCUCCAGCAAGGGAUGACUACUCUCCUUACUCCCUCAUACUGCCUCACUGAAGAGUGGAAAUACACCCUAUAGACUUAUAUUACAUGAUUGAGAAACCAUUUUAAGAUAGAAAAUAAAAGCAGAUUCACAUUCUGCAUGAUCUGCAUGUGUUUUAUUUACU
Long non-coding RNA from Electrophorus electricus (electric eel), 509 nucleotides. RefSeq lists it as uncharacterized. The record is from RefSeq and is a predicted model, not a curated record. NCBI's taxonomy places the organism in Eukaryota, Metazoa, Chordata, Actinopteri, Gymnotiformes, Gymnotidae.